RNAcentral lists this ribosomal RNA (364 nucleotides) under Chlorurus japanensis (palecheek parrotfish). RNAcentral describes it as "partial 12S ribosomal RNA". It matches the Rfam family "Bacterial small subunit ribosomal RNA", at positions 974 to 1533 of the family's 1533-position model. Lineage: Eukaryota; Metazoa; Chordata; Actinopteri; Labriformes; Labridae. The record is from RNAcentral.
CCUUUUCUUGCUUAUUCCGCCUAUAUACCGCCGUCUCCAGUCUACCCUGUAAAGGACCCAUAGUAGGCGAAAUUGGUACAGCCCCAGACGACAGGUCGAGGUGUAGCGUAUGAAAAGGGAAGAGAUGGGCUACAUUCAGUGACAGCACUGAAUACGGAGAGUCGAUUGAAAUAUUGACUUGAAGGUGGAUUUAGCAGUAAGCGGGGAAUAGAGCGCCCCACUGAAAUCGGCCCUGAAGCGUGUACACACCGCCCGUCACUCUCCCCGAGCAGAAAAACUCUUUACCUAAAAAGCCAAAAAAUGUAAAGGGGAGGCAAGUCGUAACAUGGUAAGUGUACCGGAAGGUGCACUUGGACAAAAAUAC